UACGAAGGGGGCUAGCGUUGCUCGGAAUUACUGGGCGUAAAGGGCGCGUAGGCGGCACUGUUAGUCAGGCGUGAAAGUCCUGGGCUCAACCUGGGAACUGCGCUUGAUACGGCAGAGCUAGAGGAUGGAAGAGGGUCGCGGAAUUCCCAGUGUAGAGGUGAAAUUCGUAGAUAUUAGGGAAGAACACCGGUGGCGAAGGCGGCGACCUGGUCCAUUACUGACGCUGAGGCGCGACAGCGUGGGGAGCAAACAGGAUUGAGAAACCCGGGGUAGG
Molecule: ribosomal RNA, 274 nt
Filed under: uncultured bacterium
Lineage: Bacteria
Description: partial 16S ribosomal RNA
Rfam family: Bacterial small subunit ribosomal RNA
Source: RNAcentral